AGUACUAAAGUUCACCGUUGCCUCAUUUUAUAUCACAUUCCAAUGAUAAAACCGGGGGGGGGGGGGGGGGGGGGGGGACAUUUCAGAAUGUGGGGGGGACAUGCGCCCCUGCAUAAAUGGUUUGUCAAGAUUGGUGUGGAAGAACUUGACUGGCCUGACCUCAACCCCAUCAAACACCUUCGGGAUGAAUUGGAACACCGACUGCGAGCCAGGCUUAAUCGCCCAACAUCAGUGCCCGAACUCACUAAUGCAAGUCCCAGCAGCAAUGUUCCAACAUCUAGUGAAAAGCCUUCACAGACGAGUGGAGGCUGUUAUAGCAGCAAAAGGGGGACAAACUCCAUAUUAAUGCCCAUGAUUUUUUAAUGAGAUGUUCGACGAGCAGGUGCCCACAGACGUUUGGUCAUGUAGUGUAUAUUAAUAUAAUUACUAACUUAUUCCCUGUCUUUCAAGAUAAAAUAAUCGAUGGCAAAGUGAUAAAUAACAUAAAUCAAAUUGUAUAGGCGCGGCGGCGAUAACGUUGAAGACCCUUUGAGUGCGCAUUCGUGUGUAGAGUGGCUGCGCGCUCUGACACCCGUGACUCCAGAGUGCGAGCUGGGCUUUCGGCUUUGACAGUCAGUCUUGUCACACAUCGUUUCGAAAGAUGUUGGGUACGGACGACCACAGGGACAAUCUGAAACGGAACGGGACAGGAAGGAAGCGUCCGUUCAGCCCACCCUCAGUGUUAGAGAUGGAGGAGGACAGGAGCGGGUUAGGAGUGGGGAUGGGGUUGACUGUGGACAGCGAGGUGUGCUGUGACCCCCAGGAGGAGGGUGUAGUCCUGGGGGAGCAGCCAGGUCCAGUUGGGGGCGCCCUGCCCUCCUCUGACCACAGCAGGCCCAAGAGAGAGAGGAAACAGCGCAGUUAUACACUGUGUGACGUGUGUAACAUCCAGCUCAACUCCCCAGCCCAGGCCCAGAUACACUACAACGGCAAGUCUCACCAGAAGAGACUCAAACAGAUGAGCAACGGGAAGGUCCAGCACGGCAACACAGGUAGGACACCCCACCCACUUUCUGCGCUACUCUGCGGCUGGACCCUAUUCUAACCCCUAACUGUUCGACAAAAAGGCUUGCAAAAGGGUUCUGCGGCUGUCCCCAUAGGACAACUCGUUUCAGUUCCAGGUAGAACCCUUUGUGGUUCCAGGUAGAACUAUUUUGGGUUCUAUGUAUAACCCCCUGUGGAAAGGUUCUUCAAAGGGUUCUCCUAUGGGCACAGCCAAAGAACCGUUUUUGAUUCAAGAUAGAAAACCGUUUUCUGUGAGUGUACAGUACUCUACUCUUCUGUAACACUCUGAGGCGGCUCACCUCUAUACUCCCUUACCAGCUGAUGAGAGGAAUGAUAGCGUGCACACUUGUGACAACGUGUGAAUAUGAGUUCUACCCCCCAAUGACACAUCAAGCUGCAUUAUAUAACCUAGUAAGGUGCAUCGGUACUCUGUUGUACGUGUUUCAUCAUACGUUCAGCACUUUUCUAAGAGGACGCUGUGAUAAUGAGUAUGACAAGUGAACAUGGAGAGCUGCUACAGAUGUAGGAUCUUAAUCUGAUCGCCCUGUUGCAGGAGGACUUUGUUGGAAUUGUAUUUCAGGUUUAAAAAGGUUUCUGAAGUUUGUAAUUCCCACGCUGAAUUUUCAGACAUGUCUUUCCUUUUUUUUUUUUAUAUCAACGCCUACAAAAAUGUUGAUGAAUUAUAAUCCACAUAAUCAUUCACAUUUCCUGUUGCUGCAGGACAAUUUUCCUGCUGUAGCAAACUGGCUCAACCUGUAUAGCUGUGUUGUGUCAUGACUCUCAGUACAGGAGUACUAGUGUGGUUUAGAAGAGUGUAUGGAAGUGUGUAUAGUGUAGACGUGUGCAUGGUGCUAUAUAGUCUUCCCUAGCCUGAGGCUGGACACGAGGGAGGAGAACAAAGCUGAGUUAAGUCAUUAAUUGGCUGACUAAUUUAUUGCUGGUUAUUUUAGAUCGUUCUGGUUCCUGCUCGCUCCGGGGUAGCUACAGCAGUGGCUGCAGUGGAGGUGCAGGUUUUCCCCAUAGAUUUGAAUAUAUAGUGAAACUGGCUACAUGUUCAGAGGUGAGUCCUUUCUGUCUCCCACUCUCUCUUUACUUGUGACCCUCCUACGCAGCUCGAAAACACUCUGACAAACCUGGAGAAUCUGCUCUCAAACACUCAUCACUCACUCUUGAAUACUCUAUCUCUAUUUCUCUCUCUCUCUCACACACACACACACACACACACACACACACACACACACAUGCACACACACACAUCUCCGCAUGAAAACUAGUCUGACCCACUUCAGGUGCAGAAAUCUCGUACAAACAGCACAUAAUUACAUAGCAACGGAGAGCACGGCAACGCUUGCCAUGGCCACAGAUUAUUUGGCCCUGAUUGGCUGCUGGCAGGCUGCUGGCAGGCUGCUGUAGGCAUGGUGGUGCAGUGUGUUUCUACUCCAACCCUGUAGGGGGCAGCAGUGGGGCCAGACCGCCCUUGAGAUUGCCUGGGGAACCAUGGUACAUCUGACUCAGCACUACAGGAAGGUACACAAACAGUCAAUAGUCACCCGCUUAGGUCGUUCAGAUAACUGGCUUUGGCAGUUAGCAUACAUCUGUGAUGGCUGUGUGUAAACACAGUGUAACAGCAGUAAUCUGGGAAGCAGAGAGAUCACGACACACACAUACAAACAUACCACCACUCCUCCUCUCUUCUCCCGUCUCUCUCUUACUCUCACUCUCUCCCUUCCCCUCUCACCCUCCCUUCAACCUCCCUCUCUCCUCUCCCCCUCUCUCUCUCACCCUCCACCUUCCCUCUCUCCCUCUUCGCUCUCUGGAGUCACACAAGGAAUAGUCGGCUUAGUAAUGCAGCCAUGCUGCCUGCAGGUGUGCUGCUCAUGUGGACGUCCUUCUUUGCAGUCCUCCCAACCGUCCUCCUUUCCCUUUCCUGAUUGCUUCAUUGCUUCAGUGAGCCAGCACGCAGAGCCCAGCCCAGCCCAGUGCCUUGUGGCCAGUCAGUCUUUAAGAAGGAUGGGCAGAAUGAGGCCUGACGUGGCCACUGACCGUCACUGUCUAAAACCUGGGUCAGCUAGGGCAUGGUCUGACUCAGACACACACACAGGAUUUGUCCCCAGCACCCUGGCACAGCUCCUGCAGCGGAGAGAGAUGGGGUGAGAGAGAGAGAGAGAAGGGGAGGGAGUGUGUGAGUGUGUGUGGUGUACGGUGCAGAUUCCCUCUGACACACAGUCACAAUCAUGCAGCCUUAUCUGUGCUCACCUUCUGCUGACUCCCACAGGCCCACGGCCUCAGCUCACACACACACACACACACACACACACACACACACACACACACACACACACACACACACACACACAUUGCAAACAUGUGUGGAUCAUUGCAAUCUGUGUGGAUGUUGAAGGGUGUGUGAUGUGUGUUUACAGUAUGUAAAUGUCUAUUCCUGUGUGUUUUUAUGUGUGUUUGUUUGUGUGUGUUUGUUUGUGUGUGUGUGUGUGCGUGCGUUUGUGUGUGUGCCUCCGAAAGAAUCCUCUCCAUGUCAGCUUGUGUUACCCUUCCUCUCUGCCUCACUGAACGGACAGAGGGUCCAGGCUUUUCUGCUCUCUCUCUCUCUCUCUCUCUCUCUCUCUCUCUCUCUCUCUCUCUCGUUCUCUCUCUCUCUCUCUCUCUCACAGGGUGAUGGGCAACCACAGUGAAUCUAAAAAGGCUUUAAUUUCAGUUUCAGCUGUAUUUGAUGAUACAACUUUACUUAGCGUGUUCAGGAAUAAUGCAUUGUCAGUUGUUAUAAGCAUGUAUAAGCCCCUACUGUGUCUUCUAAAUAAACUGAAAUGUGUUAUUUCUCUCCUUGUUAUUUUGCUUUACAUAUUCUAAAUGGCUACUAUACUUUUUUAGUCCUUUUGUGGUCCUUUCCUGGUCAUUUCCAAACCUCUUCAAACUACUCCUAUAACAAAAUAACAACUGAGAAACACAUGAUGCGAAAACAAGUAUUAUUUAUUAGAAAAUAUGCUAUUGUAUUAUUUGGAAUGCAGAUGAACAAUGUCCUGUAUGGGCACGUUAUUCCUGUAUGGGUACGUUAUUCCUGUAUGGGCACGUUAUUCCUGUAUGGGUACGUUAUUCCUGUAUGGGUACGUUAUUCCUGUAUGGGUACGUUAUUCAGUGUUUCCCCUUGUUGGACCGGCGGCGGCGGCGGGCUCUCUUCUUAGUUGAACCACGGGAUGUCACCCACACUGGAGCUGUUUGAGCAUCUUUACAGCCAUCUGUCUCCCUCUCAGCUCCUCUCUCCUUGUGUUCAUCUCCAUGGAGCUCGAAUGCAGCCAUUAUCUAUGGAAAUAAAAUAAACCUAAACAAAUACAUAUUUUCAUUCAUGUUCCAAUGUGAAAUGUAUAGAUAACAUUGUGGUGUUUUCUUAAGUAUUUAUAGUGGCAUGUACAGUAAGUAAAAUGUCAGCAGUAUAUAUAACUGCAUUGGGUAAAUGUCACCAUUUGGACCUAGUCUAAUGUUGUUCCUAAAGCCUUUCUCAGACC
RNAcentral lists this long non-coding RNA (4565 nucleotides) under Oncorhynchus mykiss (rainbow trout). Its description in RNAcentral is "lncRNA (ENSOMYG00000004823.2)". Lineage: Eukaryota; Metazoa; Chordata; Actinopteri; Salmoniformes; Salmonidae. The record is from RNAcentral.